UCCACGGGUGUGUAACUCAGUGGUAGAGCGGCUGACUGCUAAUCAGCAGGUCCUCGGUACGAAUUCGCGUCCUGCGAAA
RNAcentral lists this transfer RNA (79 nucleotides) under Perkinsus olseni. Its description in RNAcentral is "tRNA-Ser". The stretch from base 6 to 73 matches the Rfam family "tRNA". Rfam says of the family: Transfer RNA (tRNA) molecules are approximately 80 nucleotides in length. Their secondary structure includes four short double-helical elements and three loops (D, anti-codon, and T loops). Further hydrogen bonds mediate the characteristic L-shaped molecular structure. tRNAs have two regions of fundamental functional importance: the anti-codon, which is responsible for specific mRNA codon recognition, and the 3' end, to which the tRNAs corresponding amino acid is attached (by aminoacyl-tRNA synthetases). tRNAs cope with the degeneracy of the genetic code in two manners: having more than one tRNA (with a specific anti-codon) for a particular amino acid; and 'wobble' base-pairing, i.e. permitting non-standard base-pairing at the 3rd anti-codon position. The record is from RNAcentral. Lineage: Eukaryota; Perkinsozoa; Perkinsida; Perkinsidae.